Long non-coding RNA from Pocillopora damicornis (cauliflower coral), 607 nucleotides. NCBI's taxonomy places the organism in Eukaryota, Metazoa, Cnidaria, Anthozoa, Scleractinia, Pocilloporidae. The record is from RefSeq and is a predicted model, not a curated record.
AUAAGACGAAGUCGCUAGCAGAAGAGAAGGGUUUGUGCACAGCGCGGCUGCCUAUCGACAAGUACAUGGAAUUAAAAGACAUUUCGCCCAAGAAGAAAAAGUCCGGAAAGCACGCUUUUUCAAUCGUGCUCAGUGUGAACCAAGUUUUUGAGAUCUUGUUGAAAUUUCACGAGACUCAAGAUUGGCGACAAGCUUUAGGGACUUGCGUACCGCAACGGAAAGGACUGGUGUUGAAGACAUAAGCUGAAUAAAGGUUCCGGAUAGGUCGUUUUAUGACAAUUUAACUUUGGUCAUUUAUACGGAAACGCUUCAAAGACCGCUUCGCGCUGAUGUGAUUACGUGAUAGUAAGGAGAACUGAAAUCACGUGGCAUAGCAAACAGUAUGGCAAGACAUGGAAGGCCAACUUGUUUUUUUCAACAAAGCCGAAGCAAAAUAACCAGAGCGCAAAAGUUCAGAAUUACUGUAGGAGUCCUGUUACAGACUGAAGUUUGGACAGUCUUAGUGGAAGAGAUCAUCAGAGUCAAUUGAAGAGUUGUUUGUUAGUCGAAUGUCAUUAAGUCUUGCUCAUGUACACUGAUGUAUUUCGCAUUAAAACUUGGACCCCUA